RNAcentral lists this ribosomal RNA (907 nucleotides) under Penicillium adametzioides. RNAcentral describes it as "LSU rRNA". It matches the Rfam family "Eukaryotic large subunit ribosomal RNA", at positions 37 to 962 of the family's 3401-position model. The record is from RNAcentral. Lineage: Eukaryota; Fungi; Ascomycota; Eurotiomycetes; Eurotiales; Aspergillaceae.
AGCAUAUCAAUAAGCGGAGGAAAAGAAACCAACAGGGAUUGCCCCAGUAACGGCGAGUGAAGCGGCAAGAGCUCAAAUUUGAAAGCUGGCUCCUUCGGGGCCCGCAUUGUAAUUUGCAGAGGAUGCUUCGGGAGCGGUCCCCAUCUAAGUGCCCUGGAACGGGCUGUCAUAGAGGGUGAGAAUCCCGUAUGGGAUGGGGUGCCCGCGCCCGUGUGAAGCUCCUUCGACGAGUCGAGUUGUUUGGGAAUGCAGCUCUAAAUGGGUGGUAAAUUUCAUCUAAAGCUAAAUAUUGGCCGGAGACCGAUAGCGCACAAGUAGAGUGAUCGAAAGAUGAAAAGCACUUUGAAAAGAGAGUUAAAAAGCACGUGAAAUUGUUGAAAGGGAAGCGUUUGCGACCAGACUCGCCUACGGGGUUCAGCCUGCCUUCGGGCAGGUGUACUUCCCCGUGGGCGGGCCAGCGUCGGUUUGGGCGGCCGGUCAAAGGCCCUCGGAAUGUAACGCCUCUCGGGGCGUCUUAUAGCCGAGGGUGCCAUGCGGCCUGCCCGGACCGAGGAACGCGCUUCGGCUCGGACGCUGGCUUAAUGGUCGUAAACGACCCGUCUUGAAACACGGACCAAGGAGUCUAACAUCUAUGCGAGUGUUCGGGUGUCAAACCCGUGCGCGCAGUGAAAGCGAACGGAGGUGGGAACCCUCACGGGUGCACCAUCGACCGAUCCUGAAGUCUUCGGAUGGAUUUGAGUAAGAGCAUAGCUGUUGGGACCCGAAAGAUGGUGAACUAUGCCUGAAUAGGGCGAAGCCAGAGGAAACUCUGGUGGAGGCUCGCAGCGGUUCUGACGUGCAAAUCGAUCGUCAAAUUUGGGUAUAGGGGCGAAAGACUAAUCGAACCAUCUAGUAGCUGGUUCCUGCC